RNAcentral lists this ribosomal RNA (2925 nucleotides) under Escherichia coli. RNAcentral's name for it is "23S ribosomal RNA". It matches the Rfam family "Bacterial large subunit ribosomal RNA". Lineage: Bacteria; Pseudomonadati; Pseudomonadota; Gammaproteobacteria; Enterobacterales; Enterobacteriaceae. The record is from RNAcentral.
GGGUUGUGAGGUUAAGCGACUAAGCGUACACGGUGGAUGCCCUGGCAGUCAGAGGCGAUGAAGGACGUGCUAAUCUGCGAUAAGCGUCGGUAAGGUGAUAUGAACCGUUAUAACCGGCGAUUUCCGAAUGGGGAAACCCAGUGUGAUUCGUCACACUAUCAUUAACUGAAUCCAUAGGUUAAUGAGGCGAACCGGGGGAACUGAAACAUCUAAGUACCCCGAGGAAAAGAAAUCAACCGAGAUUCCCCCAGUAGCGGCGAGCGAACGGGGAGCAGCCCAGAGCCUGAAUCAGUGUGUGUGUUAGUGGAAGCGUCUGGAAAGGCGCGCGAUACAGGGUGACAGCCCCGUACACAAAAAUGCACAUGCUGUGAGCUCGAUGAGUAGGGCGGGACACGUGGUAUCCUGUCUGAAUAUGGGGGGACCAUCCUCCAAGGCUAAAUACUCCUGACUGACCGAUAGUGAACCAGUACCGUGAGGGAAAGGCGAAAAGAACCCCGGCGAGGGGAGUGAAAAAGAACCUGAAACCGUGUACGUACAAGCAGUGGGAGCACGCUUAGGCGUGUGACUGCGUACCUUUUGUAUAAUGGGUCAGCGACUUAUAUUCUGUAGCAAGGUUAACCGAAUAGGGGAGCCGAAGGGAAACCGAGUCUUAACUGGGCGUUAAGUUGCAGGGUAUAGACCCGAAACCCGGUGAUCUAGCCAUGGGCAGGUUGAAGGUUGGGUAACACUAACUGGAGGACCGAACCGACUAAUGUUGAAAAAUUAGCGGAUGACUUGUGGCUGGGGGUGAAAGGCCAAUCAAACCGGGAGAUAGCUGGUUCUCCCCGAAAGCUAUUUAGGUAGCGCCUCGUGAAUUCAUCUCCGGGGGUAGAGCACUGUUUCGGCAAGGGGGUCAUCCCGACUUACCAACCCGAUGCAAACUGCGAAUACCGGAGAAUGUUAUCACGGGAGACACACGGCGGGUGCUAACGUCCGUCGUGAAGAGGGAAACAACCCAGACCGCCAGCUAAGGUCCCAAAGUCAUGGUUAAGUGGGAAACGAUGUGGGAAGGCCCAGACAGCCAGGAUGUUGGCUUAGAAGCAGCCAUCAUUUAAAGAAAGCGUAAUAGCUCACUGGUCGAGUCGGCCUGCGCGGAAGAUGUAACGGGGCUAAACCAUGCACCGAAGCUGCGGCAGCGACGCUUAUGCGUUGUUGGGUAGGGGAGCGUUCUGUAAGCCUGCGAAGGUGUGCUGUGAGGCAUGCUGGAGGUAUCAGAAGUGCGAAUGCUGACAUAAGUAACGAUAAAGCGGGUGAAAAGCCCGCUCGCCGGAAGACCAAGGGUUCCUGUCCAACGUUAAUCGGGGCAGGGUGAGUCGACCCCUAAGGCGAGGCCGAAAGGCGUAGUCGAUGGGAAACAGGUUAAUAUUCCUGUACUUGGUGUUACUGCGAAGGGGGGACGGAGAAGGCUAUGUUGGCCGGGCGACGGUUGUCCCGGUUUAAGCGUGUAGGCUGGUUUUCCAGGCAAAUCCGGAAAAUCAAGGCUGAGGCGUGAUGACGAGGCACUACGGUGCUGAAGCAACAAAUGCCCUGCUUCCAGGAAAAGCCUCUAAGCAUCAGGUAACAUCAAAUCGUACCCCAAACCGACACAGGUGGUCAGGUAGAGAAUACCAAGGCGCUUGAGAGAACUCGGGUGAAGGAACUAGGCAAAAUGGUGCCGUAACUUCGGGAGAAGGCACGCUGAUAUGUAGGUGAAGCGACUUGCUCGUGGAGCUGAAAUCAGUCGAAGAUACCAGCUGGCUGCAACUGUUUAUUAAAAACACAGCACUGUGCAAACACGAAAGUGGACGUAUACGGUGUGACGCCUGCCCGGUGCCGGAAGGUUAAUUGAUGGGGUCAGCGCAAGCGAAGCUCUUGAUCGAAGCCCCGGUAAACGGCGGCCGUAACUAUAACGGUCCUAAGGUAGCGAAAUUCCUUGUCGGGUAAGUUCCGACCUGCACGAAUGGCGUAAUGAUGGCCAGGCUGUCUCCACCCGAGACUCAGUGAAAUUGAACUCGCUGUGAAGAUGCAGUGUACCCGCGGCAAGACGGAAAGACCCCGUGAACCUUUACUAUAGCUUGACACUGAACAUUGAGCCUUGAUGUGUAGGAUAGGUGGGAGGCUUUGAAGUGUGGACGCCAGUCUGCAUGGAGCCGACCUUGAAAUACCACCCUUUAAUGUUUGAUGUUCUAACGUGGACCCGUAAUCCGGGUUGCGGACAGUGUCUGGUGGGUAGUUUGACUGGGGCGGUCUCCUCCUAAAGAGUAACGGAGGAGCACGAAGGUUGGCUAAUCCUGGUCGGACAUCAGGAGGUUAGUGCAAUGGCAUAAGCCAGCUUGACUGCGAGCGUGACGGCGCGAGCAGGUGCGAAAGCAGGUCAUAGUGAUCCGGUGGUUCUGAAUGGAAGGGCCAUCGCUCAACGGAUAAAAGGUACUCCGGGGAUAACAGGCUGAUACCGCCCAAGAGUUCAUAUCGACGGCGGUGUUUGGCACCUCGAUGUCGGCUCAUCACAUCCUGGGGCUGAAGUAGGUCCCAAGGGUAUGGCUGUUCGCCAUUUAAAGUGGUACGCGAGCUGGGUUUAGAACGUCGUGAGACAGUUCGGUCCCUAUCUGCCGUGGGCGCUGGAGAACUGAGGGGGGCUGCUCCUAGUACGAGAGGACCGGAGUGGACGCAUCACUGGUGUUCGGGUUGUCAUGCCAAUGGCACUGCCCGGUAGCUAAAUGCGGAAGAGAUAAGUGCUGAAAGCAUCUAAGCACGAAACUUGCCCCGAGAUGAGUUCUCCCUGACUCCUUGAGAGUCCUGAAGGAACGUUGAAGACGACGACGUUGAUAGGCCGGGUGUGUAAGCGCAGCGAUGCGUUGAGCUAACCGGUACUAAUGAACCGUGAGGCUUAACCUUACAACGCCGAAG